Molecule: ribosomal RNA, 407 nt
Filed under: uncultured bacterium
Lineage: Bacteria
Description: partial 16S ribosomal RNA
Rfam family: Bacterial small subunit ribosomal RNA
Source: RNAcentral
AUUGAACGCUGGCGGCAGGCCUAACACAUGCCAGUCGAACGGAGUUGCGGACGGGUGAGUAAUGUCUGGGAACCUGCCUGAUGGCGGGGGAUAACUACUGGAAACGGGCGCUAAUACCGCAUACUCUCAGAUGAGCCUAGGUCGGAUUAGCUAGUUGGUGGGGUAAAGGCCUACCAAGGCGACGAUCCGUCACUGGUCUGAGAGGAUGAACAGGAAAACUGGAACUGAGACACGGUCCAGACGCCUACGGGAGGCAGCAGGGGGGAAGAUUGGACAAUGGGCGAAAGCCUGAUCCGGCCAUGCCGCGUGUGUGAAGAAGGUCUUCGGAUUGUAAAGCACGUUAAGUUGGGAGGCGUUACCAACAGAAUAAGCACAGGCUAACUUCGUGCCAGCAGCCGCGGUAAUUC